Molecule: ribosomal RNA, 262 nt
Filed under: uncultured archaeon
Lineage: Archaea
Description: partial 16S ribosomal RNA
Rfam family: Archaeal small subunit ribosomal RNA
Source: RNAcentral
AGUCACUGACAUUAGAUACCCGUGUAGUCCCAGCCGUAAACUAUGCGCGUUAGGUGUAUCGGUGACCACGAGUUACCGAGGUGCCGAAGGGAAACCGUGAAACGUGCCGCCUGGGAAGUACGGUCGCAAGGCUGAACUUAAGGAAUUGGCGGGGAGCACCACAACGGGUGGAGCCUGCGGUUUAAUUGGACUCAACGCCGGACAACUCACCGGGAACGACAGCAAUAUGUAGGCCAGGCUGAAGACCUUGCCUGAAUCGCUG